AUGCAGUCGACGGGCUCUUCGGAGCAAGUGGCGGACGGGUGAGUAACGCGUGAGAAUGUGCCUUGAGGAUGGGGAUAACAAUAGGAAACUAAUGCUAAGACCCAAUGUGCCUUAAGUGGUGAAAAAUGAAAAUUGCCUGAAGAGGAGCUCGCGUCUGAUUAGCUAGUUGGGGUGGUAAAAGCGCACCAAGGCGACGAUCAGUAGCUGGUCUGAGAGGAUGAGCAGCCACACUGGGACUGAGACACGGCCCAGACUCCUACGGGAGGCAGCAGUGGGGAAUUUUCCGCAAUGGGCGAAAGCCUGACGGAGCAAUACCGCGUGAGGGAGGAAGGCUCUUGGGUUGUAAACCUCAAAACUUAGGGAAGAAAAAAAUGACGGUACCUAAUUUAAGCAUCGGCUAACUCCGUG
This 408-nucleotide ribosomal RNA is filed under the name uncultured bacterium. Its description in RNAcentral is "bacterial SSU rRNA". It matches the Rfam family "Bacterial small subunit ribosomal RNA", at positions 55 to 507 of the family's 1533-position model. The record is from RNAcentral.